GGUUGACCUCGGAUCAGGUAGGAAUACCCGCUGAACUUAAGCAUAUCAAUAAGCGGAGGAAAAGAAACCAACAGGGAUUGCCUCAGUAACGGCGAGUGAAGCGGCAACAGCUCAAAUUUGAAAUCUGGCCUUGUGCCCGAGUUGUAAUUUGUAGAGGAUGCUUUCGGCGCGGCGCCUCCCGAGUGCCCUGGAACGGGACGCCACAGAGGGUGAGAGCCCCGUAUGGUUGGACGCCUAGCCUUUGUAAAGCUCCUUCGACGAGUCGAGUAGUUUGGGAAUGCUGCUCAAAACGGGAGGUAAAUUCCUUCUAAAGCUAAAUACCGGCCAGAGACCGAUAGCGCACAAGUAGAGUGAUCGAAAGAUGAAAAGCACUUUGAAAAGAGGGUUAAACAGCACGUGAAAUUGUUGAAAGGGAAGCGCUUGUGGCCAGACUUGGGCCUCGGGGAUCAGCUGGCGUUCUCGCCAGUGCACUCCGCGGGGCUCAGGCCAGCAUCGGUUUUCCGAGGGGGAUAAAAGCUCCGGGAACGUAGCUCCUUCGGGAGUGUUAUAGCCCGCUGCAGAAUACCCCUUGGGGGACCGAGGUACGCGCUCCGCAAGGAUGCUGGCGUAAUGGUCAUCAGCGGCCCGUCUUGAAACACGGACCAAGGAGUCAAGCAUUAGGGCGAGUGUUUGGGUGUCAAACCCGCACGCGAAAUGAAAGUGAACGUAGGUGAGAGCUUCGGCGCAUCAUCGACCGAUCCUGAUGUAUUCGGAUGGAUUUGAGUAGGAGCCUUACCGCUUGGACCCGAAAGAUGGUGAACUAUGCCUGUAUAGGGUGAAGCCAGAGGAAACUCUGGUGGAGGCUCGCAGCGGUUCUGACGUGCAAAUCGAUCGUCAAAUAUGGGCAUGGGGGCGAAAGACUAAUCGAACUAUUACCUACUAGGUAGUUAAGAGGAUCUGCCGAGAGGCUGGAUCCUAGUUCUUUACGGCGAGAGCUACACCGCCAAAUUGCCGGGGACUACCUGUUUGAUACCCAAGUUACCGCAGCCGAGCUGAAAAGCUCGGUGCGCACCAGGCUAAUCACCUGCGGGAUGGUAAUAACACUUGGGCUAGGGUUGACCCGCAGCCAACUCCGCAUCUAAGGAGGCAGUUCACAGACUAAAUGGUGGUGGGUUCGGCCCCUACUCUGCGUAGGAGGCUGGGCUUAAGAUAUAGUCGAAACCCCUGAGAAAUCAGCGGGAGCGAGGUCCUACCCGACCUCGCAGGAAUGCUAGUAGCUGGUUACCGCCGAAGUUUCCCUCAGGAUAGCAGUGUUGUUUUCAGUUUUAUGAGGUAAAGCGAAUGAUUAGGGACUCGGGGGCGCUAUUUAGCCUUCAUCCAUUCUCAAACUUUAAAUAUGUAAGAAGCCCUUGUUACUUAGCUGAACGUGGGCCUUCGAAUGUAUCAACACUAGUGGGCCAUUUUUGGUAA
This 1449-nucleotide ribosomal RNA is filed under the name Spadicoides hyalostoma. Its description in RNAcentral is "eukaryotic LSU rRNA". It matches the Rfam family "Eukaryotic large subunit ribosomal RNA", at positions 1 to 1143 of the family's 3401-position model. The record is from RNAcentral. Lineage: Eukaryota; Fungi; Ascomycota; Sordariomycetes; Xenospadicoidales; Xenospadicoidaceae.